This is a small nucleolar RNA of Rattus norvegicus (Norway rat), 122 nucleotides long. Ensembl annotates it as small nucleolar RNA SNORA42/SNORA80 family. The record is from Ensembl. Lineage: Eukaryota; Metazoa; Chordata; Mammalia; Rodentia; Muridae.
GUAUAACAAUAUUAUAAAAUGCUAUAGUUUUCAUAGUGUCCCGUGCUAGAGCAAACUGGCUCCUAACCAUUGCCCAGCCUUGGUGCAUGUAGGCUGCUGGCACUGAAGUGGGUCACACAGUG